UACGUAGGGUGCGAGCGUUAAUCGGAAUUACUGGGCGUAAAGUGUGCGCAGGCGGCCGAGCAAGUCGAGUGUGAAAUCCCCGGGCUUAACUUGGGAAUUGCGCUCGAAACUACUUGGCUUGAGUGUGGCAGAGGAAGGUGGAAUUCCACGUGUAGCGGUGAAAUGCGUAGAUAUCUGGAGGAACACCGGUGGCGAAGGCGGCUCUCUGGGACGGUACUGACGCUGAGACGCGAAAGCGUGGGGAGCGAACAGG
Molecule: ribosomal RNA, 253 nt
Filed under: uncultured bacterium
Lineage: Bacteria
Description: partial 16S ribosomal RNA
Rfam family: Bacterial small subunit ribosomal RNA
Source: RNAcentral